Long non-coding RNA from Brassica napus (rape), 804 nucleotides. RefSeq lists it as uncharacterized. The transcript has 4 exons. The record is from RefSeq and is a predicted model, not a curated record. NCBI's taxonomy places the organism in Eukaryota, Viridiplantae, Streptophyta, Magnoliopsida, Brassicales, Brassicaceae.
GUUUAUCGCUGAUAGUUCUUUCUCUUUCAGGUCAUGUAGAAACAUGCUGCGGAAAACAGGCGAACGGGCAGCGAGAACAGCUCGGUGCGCUCCGAUGCUUCCAUCAGAGGCGUUGAUGGUUAUGUCGGUGUAAAUGCUUUCUGUCAACAUACGUCCAAGGGAUGUUACCGCUGUAACUUCGGAUUGGUUCUGCGUUGAACCGUCUGCCCAGAUUGAGUAAAACUCUCCACUCUGCCAAUCCAGAACCUUGAGGUCAAGAAACUCGACGUCGAUGAUGAUUUUUCCAGUCAAGGGAACUUCAAUUGUCCAGAGGAAAUCUUCGUUUGUCUUAAUCCUCUUAUCUAUUACUUCUGCAGCAUUAAAGAAACAAUGUUUUUAAAUUCAUCUUUUGUUGUGGAACAGGAACAAAGCAAGAUCUUGUCUUUACCUGGAUGAGUAAAAGCCUUCCUCUCACCAGUAGAAGAGACAACACGAAGAACAAAGGAAGCAACAGACAAAUGCCUUCAUAUCAAUAACCCACCAUAUAUAGUGUCAAAACCAUUCUUAUUACCAAACACAUCAACUACUAAAAAAGGGAAGGAGAGAGAGAAGAGAGAGGUACCAGUUCCAAAGACCCAUCUUGAAAGGAUCGGACUUGCGGUAAGUGGAGGAAGAGAGGUUGAGGAUACGCCAUUGGGCGAGCCUGGAGAUGGUGUCUACUCUGUAAGCUGAAUCAGUCAUCCUAGAGAAAGCCAGAGCUGCAGAGAUGUCAUGGAUGCAAUCCAACCAACCCUCCAGCAGAUUCUCCCCUGACUUUCCCAGGUU